Molecule: long non-coding RNA, 1197 nt
Filed under: Elaeis guineensis (African oil palm)
Lineage: Eukaryota; Viridiplantae; Streptophyta; Magnoliopsida; Arecales; Arecaceae
Description: long non-coding RNA (EGUI_LNC019784)
Source: RNAcentral
UUCCUUUUAUAUCCUUAAGAAUAACUUUUCUUCUUUGAUUUUUUAUGAUGAAAAUUAGAUCUAAUCUGAUUUCUCAUGUUGAAAAUCACAUGAAAUCUUGAGAUCUAGAAAAAUCCAAAAAAGAGAUCCAAGAGAAGAAAACUGUUCUUCUCUCUUCUACUCCCUUUUUCUUCUUGAUCUAGAACUCUAGAGAUUCCCAAACGCCCAAUCAGAUUUUUUGAUAUUUCUUCUCUAAAUUUUUAUGUUAAAAAAUCAGAUCUAAUCUAAUUUUUAUUUUUUAAAAAAAUAAAAAAAAUCUGAAAGAAGAAUUCCUUCUUCUUCAAGGCUGUACACAAGAAAGAAGAUCCAUUUUCUUCCUUGAUUUAGAACUCUAGAAAGCCCCAAACCCCAACCAGAUUUUUUUUUGGUAUUUCUCUUCUAAAUCUACAUGUUAAAAAUUAGAUCUAAUCUGAUUUUUAUCUUUAAAAAAAUAUAAAAAAAACUGAAAGAAAAACUCUUUCUUCUUCAAGGCUGCGCACAAGAAAGAAGACCCUUCUUCUUCCUUGUCUUUCUCUCUUUGGGAAGAACUUUUCUUCUACAAUGUUCUGUUGUAUAACCAGCAGAGAAGUCUCCUUUUGAUAUCCAAAAAUCAUCAAGAAAAGAUCUCAAAAAUUUACCAAGAUGAAAAGGAGAGGAGGGGUUGGCGUGUGGAUAUUGGGGCGUCCAACUCUCGCCCCCUCCUUGUUUUGGCGACAAGAAAAGAAGGGGAGAUGCCCUUCUUUCUCACGGAAGAAAUAAGGAGGCGCACAUCUUUUUUGAGGCAUGGGAUCUCACAUUAAAAGGAUUUGAGGUGUGGAGAAUUAAUAGCAAAUGGGUUGGUUCCAAGUUGGUUAAGUCCUAUUCCAAAUAGGAUUCAAGAUCUUGGUCAAAUUCUAACUAAUUCUUAGACCCAAUCCUAACUAACUUAGAAAUUAGUUAUAACCAACUAACUAAUUGGGUCCUAGUCUAAUUAUUAGGCUCCAAUUGAAUUUAUAAUUAUUUAGAUUAAAAUUCCAUUGAUCCAAGGAUUGAUUCUAAAUAGAGAUUAGGUGCUUCAUUUGAUAUUAGGACUUGAUCCAAUCAAGCCUAUUAUUCCAUAGGAUUAGAUUCAAUCCAAGUCUAUAUAAAAUUAAUUGAAUUAUAUUUAAUUUAAAAUAAUUUUAAAUUUAUGCAUCUCUG